Natrinema pellirubrum DSM 15624 is the source of this 71-nucleotide non-coding RNA. NCBI's taxonomy places the organism in Archaea, Methanobacteriati, Methanobacteriota, Halobacteria, Halobacteriales, Natrialbaceae. The record is from Rfam.
GUGGGAAGCGCACGGCCGCAAAUCCGACUCCGCCGCCCGCUCUUUGGGGCGGCUUGGGAUUGCGGAAGUGC